Oncorhynchus keta (chum salmon) is the source of this 317-nucleotide long non-coding RNA. RefSeq lists it as uncharacterized. The record is from RefSeq and is a predicted model, not a curated record. The transcript is spliced from 3 exons. Lineage: Eukaryota; Metazoa; Chordata; Actinopteri; Salmoniformes; Salmonidae.
UAUUAGAGAUACUAGAGGUUACUGUAUUAGAGAUACUAGAGGUUACUGUAUUAGAGAUACUAGAGGUUACUGUAUUAGAGAUACUAGAGGUUACUGUAUUAGAGAUACUAGAGGUUACUGUAUUAGAGAUACUAGAGGUUACUGUAUUAGAGACACUAGAGGUUACUGUAUUAGAGACACUAGAGGUUACUGUAUUAGAGAUACUAGAGGUUACUGUAUUAGAGAUACUAGAGGUCACUGUAUUAGAGAUACUAGAGGUUACUGUAUUAGAGAUACUAGAGGUUACUGUAUUAGAGAUACUAGAGGUUACUGUAUUA